AGAGUUUGAUCCUGGCUCAGGACGAACGCUGGCGGCGUGCUUAACACAUGCAAGUCGAACGGUGACGGAGGAGCUUGCUCCUCCUGAUCAGUGGCGAACGGGUGAGUAACACGUGAGUAACCUGCCCCAGACUCUGGAAUAACAGUUGGAAACAGCUGCUAAUACCGGAUACGAGACGGAGAGGCAUCUCUACCGUCUGGAAAGUUUUUCGGUCUGGGAUGGACUCGCGGCCUAUCAGCUUGUUGGUGAGGUAAUGGCUCACCAAGGCGACGACGGGUAGCCGGCCUGAGAGGGCGACCGGCCACACUGGGACUGAGACACGGCCCAGACUCCUACGGGAGGCAGCAGUGGGGAAUAUUGCACAAUGGGCGAAAGCCUGAUGCAGCAACGCCGCGUGAGGGAUGACGGCCUUCGGGUUGUAAACCUCUUUCAGUAGGGAAGAAGCGCAAGUGACGGUACCUACAGAAGAAGCACCGGCUAACUACGUGCCAGCAGCCGCGGUAAUACGUAGGGUGCGAGCGUUGUCCGGAAUUAUUGGGCGUAAAGAGCUUGUAGGCGGUUUGUCGCGUCUGCUGUGAAAAUCCGGGGCUCAACUCCGGACUUGCAGUGGGUACGGGCAGACUAGAGUGUGGUAGGGGAGACUGGAAUUCCUGGUGUAGCGGUGAAAUGCGCAGAUAUCAGGAGGAACACCGAUGGCGAAGGCAGGUCUCUGGGCCAUAACUGACGCUGAGAAGCGAAAGCGUGGGGAGCGAACAGGAUUAGAUACCCCGGUAGU
RNAcentral lists this ribosomal RNA (775 nucleotides) under uncultured bacterium. RNAcentral's name for it is "bacterial SSU rRNA". It matches the Rfam family "Bacterial small subunit ribosomal RNA", at positions 8 to 794 of the family's 1533-position model. The record is from RNAcentral.